UCAGUUGAUUUUAGAUGACUAUACAAGUCAGACUGAACUUAAAUCUCUCGUUGCAUUGAAAACCCAAUAUCUCAUUCAAAGAAUCUUG
Molecule: small RNA, 88 nt
Filed under: Salix viminalis (osier)
Lineage: Eukaryota; Viridiplantae; Streptophyta; Magnoliopsida; Malpighiales; Salicaceae
Source: RNAcentral